GAGGUAUGGCUCAGUGGUUGAGCACCUGCUUAGCAAGCAUGAGGCCCUGAGUUCAAUCCCCAGUACUGCCA
Molecule: non-coding RNA, 71 nt
Organism: Perognathus longimembris pacificus (Pacific pocket mouse)
Lineage: Eukaryota; Metazoa; Chordata; Mammalia; Rodentia; Heteromyidae
Source: the annotation of a RefSeq genome assembly